UCAUCCUCACGAAAUAAUUUUUAUAGCACCAUUUUUCUACUGCAAAAACUGCUUCUCUUGACCCCACGUGGAGUUCACGUGUGACAACGCUGCACUUCACAUAGUAACCAAGUUCAUUGAAUUUACAUUUUUAUCCUAAAGUACCUGAUAUGAUACAUAGUACCAGAUACACAAAUUACUGUGCACAGUUAUUAUUAUGAAACUCGUACACAAAUUGGAUACAAAAUGUUAAUAAAUUAAUAAAAAAUAUGGAGAAUCGUUGUGUGUGGUUUCAAUCCACGAAUAAAAUUAGGCAGCAUCCCACUCACGGAAUUGCUUCGCACGCACAAUCACAUUGUCAAAUGUUUAUUUCAUCUGCUUUUAUUUAAACAAACUUUUAUUUCUCCAGGCUAUCAAAAAUUUCCAGAGGUUGAUGGAACAACAACGAGGCAAAAACUUUCUUCCGUUUGCUCUGAAUAAAUUGAGGUCGUUCUCGUUGUUGAUUCUAAUGUUUUAUAGAUUCGGUGGGCAGUUUAAUAAUGAUCAAGCUGAUGCAGACAUUGACAGAUGAUUCAAAAUAAAAAUUCAUGUUUAGUUUGGAGGCGGAUGAAGGUGAAUUAAUUUUGGAGGUUACAUAAGCAGUACGCGACUUUGAGGGAGUUCAGAGAUGAAGGUGACUUUGAAGGAGCCUUGGGACAAAUUCAGUGUAAAAUGUGGUUAAUAACACACGAUAAGAAUAUAUGUAUUUGAGCACCGCACAGAAAUGAUGAAACUUGCAUGUUACGUAUUCCAACGACACUGGACCUUAGCGGACUGGACGAGGAAGACGUUCAACUUUUCAACCAGAUUGCGUUCCAUCAUCACAUUUAGGGAAGUAUAUUAGUGCAUAAGUAUCCUUAGUGAAUGGUGAGUGAAGGCUUAUGGAUCGGGUGGACGACGACUUAGCAGUUAUAAAAAAAACUGACAAAGUGGUACAGAUGUAACAUCCCUGUGGAGACAAUCUUAUGCUCCAGACUCAUUUUUACCAACGUCAGACGGUAUUUUAUAUAAAAAAUGCAUAUAUGUACACCUCGACAAUCCACAUGCACAAAUAUAUCCACGUUUUAAUUGCUUAAUGAAUUAAAAAAAUUAGUUUUACCAAAUUAUGUCUACAAAA
Long non-coding RNA from Folsomia candida, 1135 nucleotides. RefSeq lists it as uncharacterized. Lineage: Eukaryota; Metazoa; Arthropoda; Collembola; Entomobryomorpha; Isotomidae. The transcript is spliced from 3 exons. The record is from RefSeq and is a predicted model, not a curated record.